GUCUACGGCCAUACCACCCUGAAUGCGCCCAAUCUCGUCUGAUCUUGGAAACUAAGCAGGGUCGGGCCUGGUUAGUACUUGGAUGGAAGAAGUCAGCUUACUGUUCC
This 107-nucleotide ribosomal RNA is filed under the name Octodon degus (degu). Lineage: Eukaryota; Metazoa; Chordata; Mammalia; Rodentia; Octodontidae. The record is from RNAcentral.